RNAcentral lists this ribosomal RNA (253 nucleotides) under uncultured bacterium. RNAcentral's name for it is "partial 16S ribosomal RNA". It matches the Rfam family "Bacterial small subunit ribosomal RNA", at positions 524 to 776 of the family's 1533-position model. The record is from RNAcentral.
UACGUAGGGGGCAAGCGUUGUCCGGAAUUAUUGGGCGUAAAGAGCGCGUAGGCGGUCCGAUAAGUCGGCUGUGAAAGUCCAGGGCUCAACCCUGGAAAGCCGGCCGAUACUGUCGGACUAGAGUCCGGAAGAGGCGAGUGGAAUUCCCGGUGUAGCGGUGAAAUGCGCAGAUAUCAAGAGGAACACCUGAGGUGAAGACGGGUUGCUGGGCUGACACUGACGCUGAGGCGCGAAAGCCAGGGGAGCAAACGGG